RNAcentral lists this ribosomal RNA (564 nucleotides) under Kazachstania africana. RNAcentral describes it as "partial large subunit ribosomal RNA". It matches the Rfam family "Eukaryotic large subunit ribosomal RNA", at positions 34 to 602 of the family's 3401-position model. The record is from RNAcentral. Lineage: Eukaryota; Fungi; Ascomycota; Saccharomycetes; Saccharomycetales; Saccharomycetaceae.
UUAAGCAUAUCAAUAAGCGGAGGAAAAAGAAACCAACCGGGAUUGCCUUAGUAACGGCGAGUGAAGCGGCAAAAGCUCAAAUUUGAAAUCUAGUACCUUCGGUGCUCGAGUUGUAAUUUGAAGAGGGAUACUUUGGGACCGUUCCUUGUCUAUGUUCCUUGGAACAGGACGUCAUAGAGGGUGAGAAUCCCGUGUGGCGAGGAGUGCGGUUCUUUGUAAAGUUCUCUCGAAGAGUCGAGUUGUUUGGGAAUGCAGCUCUAAGUGGGUGGUAAAUUCCAUCUAAAGCUAAAUAUUGGCGAGAGACCGAUAGCGAACAAGUACAGUGAUGGAAAGAUGAAAAGAACUUUGAAAAGAGAGUGAAAAAGUACGUGAAAUUGUUGAAAGGGAAGGGCAUUUGAUCAGACAUGGUGUUUUGCGCCCUCUGCUCCUUGUGGGUAGGGGAAUCUCGCAGCUCACUGGGCCAACAUCAGUUUUGGUGGCAGGAUAAAUCCAUAGGAAUGUACCUUGCUUGCAAGUAUUAUAGCCUGUGGGAAUACUGCCAACUGGGACUGAGGACUGCGACUU